Molecule: long non-coding RNA, 1430 nt
Organism: Triticum dicoccoides
Lineage: Eukaryota; Viridiplantae; Streptophyta; Magnoliopsida; Poales; Poaceae
Exons: 5
Source: RefSeq, a predicted model, not a curated record
GAAAUCCGUGCCGCACAGUCAACGCCACUGCCGUCGCCGUCGACGGGCGGCCAACAGCCAGCCCGGCCAUGCCGUCGGGUCAUGCAACCGCACGUUGCCAAUGCCGCGCCGCCGCAUAGCCACGCGCUACCGCCGCCGCACCGCGCCGGGCAGAACCUCCGCUCCGCCACGGGCCGCCAUGCGACCGGGAGAAGCACGCCAGGAGGUUUGGCUUCCGCCUCGCCUUGCGCGUGGACCGGGCUGCACACUGAUCACAAGGCCUCGGCCGUGCGCCCGUCGCCUUCGCUGACGCGACGCGGUCGUUGCCGCCCGCUCCGAUGGCCGACCAUGCCGCCGAGCAGCCGUGCUGCGCUGUUGUUGUGGCGUGUGAGGGCGCUCCCGUGCGUUCAGAGAGGCCGCCGCUUGGAGCCGCCUCCCCGAGAAGUCGCCGAAGACGACCGUGGCUCUGUGCCUGAAGUACAGAGUAUAUAUACCUCUCGCCGUCACAACAAUUCAGUCACUAGAAGUGGACUCAUCAUGGCAAAGCAGAGCAGCGCAGUACGGAGUAUAUAUACCUCUCACUGUCACAACAAUUCAGUCACUGAAGUGGUCUCAAUCAUGGCAAAGCAGACCAGUGCAUUACAGAGUAUAUAUACCUCUCACAGUUCAGUCACUAGAAGUGGACUCAUCAUGGCAAAGCAGAGCAGUGCAGUACAGAGUAUAUAUACCUCUCGCCAUCACAACAGUUCAGUCACUAGAAAUGGACUCAGCAUGGCAAAGCAGAGCAAUGCAGUACAGAGUAUAUAUACCUCUUGCCGUUACAACCAGAUAACGGUGGCCAGGUGCGCCUCCCUGACCCGGAUUAUAUGGGUGCCAUUGGAGGAGCUCGUGGUGUGUGUCAUCGGGUCACAGAUGAUCGAUCAAUGCUGCUGCUGCUGCUGCUGUUGCUGUUGCUGUUGCUGGUACACAUAGCUAUGGUGGAACUAUAUUUAUAGGGUCCCGGGUGAGAAUCUGGACGGAAGAGGGCAAAACAGGCGAGGAGUGUAUGUUAUUCCAUUUUGGUGUCCAGAACAUCGAACGGUGGUGCUCUCAUAUGAUGGACUCCUGACUUCAUCAAAACGUGAGUUGUUUGCUCGGUCACAUGGUCUUUGAGAAGAAAGAGGGAGUACUAAACUACAGCCUUCCAUGGCGUCUGGGCAGUGCGAUCCUAGGGCGGAGCCACUGCUUGACAUAAUCCAUCUCACGCAGGACAAUGCUGCUUCCCUGCCUUCUUGAAAAUCUGGAGAUGUGUGGCAAUGCCAAGAUAUAGAAUAUUUUUUUGGCUGCUCUUGCAUGACAGAAUCAACACCAGAUGCCUCCUCCAUAGAAAAGUUUUUUACAUGUCUUCUCAGAAUUGUGCCAUUUGUACUCUAAAUGCUGAUGAGACUAUUUUCGGAUUGUCUGUUUGCUUA